CAGCUGUAUGAACUUUGCUGAGAGUAGGCUAAAUCUGCAGCCUGUUUCAAAACAUUAUCCACUUGGUGUAGGCAGAAAUAGGAGCUCAGGGUUAUGACUCUGGAAAAGAUCUGGGUUGGAUGGAUGAAGCUCUCUCACCUGGGUUCCAUGUUCCAGAAACAGAUGCGUAUUAUGUUCUAUGGACAAACUCCAUUGUUUCAGAGUCUUAGAUCUCUGCAUUUUAGACGUAUCUCCCAGUUUGUGGAGGCUACUGUGCUUGAAGAUCAGCAGAAGGAAUCUCAGUUUUAGUGACUUGGUGGUGUGCGUCUUGUGACCUUCACAGGCUGAAUGUGAGUUCUAAUACAAGAGCCAUGAGAACUGACAGACUUCCAUCAUCACCAACUUUAUUAAUAAUAAUUUUAUUCUUAUGGCUACUUGUCUUGGUCACAUUUUUCAGCAAUUCAUUUUUGUCUCAAAAUUAUAUGUGGCAUAAAAUUAAAUUUACUUUUUU
Molecule: long non-coding RNA, 490 nt
Filed under: Apteryx rowi (Okarito brown kiwi)
Lineage: Eukaryota; Metazoa; Chordata; Aves; Apterygiformes; Apterygidae
Description: lncRNA (ENSARWG00000004630.1)
Source: RNAcentral